This 239-nucleotide ribosomal RNA is filed under the name Staphylococcus saprophyticus. RNAcentral describes it as "partial 16S ribosomal RNA". It matches the Rfam family "Bacterial small subunit ribosomal RNA", at positions 50 to 271 of the family's 1533-position model. Lineage: Bacteria; Bacillati; Bacillota; Bacilli; Caryophanales; Staphylococcaceae. The record is from RNAcentral.
CGGCGUCUAUACAUGCAAGUCGAGCGAACAGAUAAGGAGCUUGCUCCUUUGACGUUAGCGGCGGACGGGUGAGUAACACGUGGGUAACCUACCUAUAAGACUGGGAUAACUUCGGGAAACCGGAGCUAAUACCGGAUAACAUUUGGAACCGCAUGGUUCUAAAGUGAAAGAUGGUUUUGCUAUCACUUAUAGAUGGACCCGCGCCGUAUUAGCUAGUUGGUAAGGUAACGGCUUACCAA